UUGCUCACUUCCACAGCACAUAUAUUAAAAUUGGAACGAUACAGAGAAGAUUAGCAUGGCCCCUGUGCAAAGAUGACACACAAAUUUGUGAAGCAUUCCAAGAAAAA
Myotis myotis is the source of this 107-nucleotide small nuclear RNA. Lineage: Eukaryota; Metazoa; Chordata; Mammalia; Chiroptera; Vespertilionidae. The record is from RefSeq and is a predicted model, not a curated record.